UUAACUAUUAGAUAGUACUCAGACAUCAAAGAUUCGAGGGUUUCAAGCUACCGACAGGCGGGUAAAGCCUGCCAAAGCAACAGAGUCUGGUAUACAAAGGAGGAGAAUAAGGGUGUUUAAAGCCCAGUUAUUCAAUAAUGAUCCUUCCGCAGGUUCACCUACGGAAA
RNAcentral lists this unclassified non-coding RNA (167 nucleotides) under uncultured fungus. Its description in RNAcentral is "sequence contains ITS1". Lineage: Eukaryota; Fungi. The record is from RNAcentral.